AGGCAGCAGUAGGGAAUCUUCCGCAAUGGACGAAAGUCUGACGGAGCAACGCCGCGUGAGCGAUGAAGGCCUUCGGGUCGUAAAGNUCUGUUGUCAGGGAAGAACAAGUAYCGGAGUAACUGCCGGUACCUUGACGGUACCUGACCAGAAAGCCACGGCUAACUACGUGCCAGCAGCCGCGGUAAUACGUAGGUGGCAAGCGUUGUCCGGAAUUAUUGGGCGUAAAGCGCGCGCAGGCGGUUCCUUAAGUCUGAUGUGAAAGCCCCCGGCUCAACCGGGGAGGGUCAUUGGAAACUGGGGAACUUGAGUGCAGAAGAGGAGAGCGGAAUUCCACGUGUAGCGGUGAAAUGCGUAGAGAUGUGGAGGAACACCAGUGGCGAAGGCGGCUCUCUGGUCUGUAACUGACGCUGAGGCGCGAAAGCGUGGGGAGCGAACAGGAUUAGAUACCCUGGUAGUCCACGCCGUAAACGAUGAGUGCUAAGUGUUAGAGGGUUUCCGCCCUUUAGUGCUGCAGCAAACGCAAGAAGCACUCCGCCUGGGGAGACGCCGC
This 550-nucleotide ribosomal RNA is filed under the name uncultured bacterium. RNAcentral describes it as "bacterial SSU rRNA". It matches the Rfam family "Bacterial small subunit ribosomal RNA", at positions 346 to 889 of the family's 1533-position model. The record is from RNAcentral.